GACGAACGCUGGCGGCGUGCUUAACACAUGCAAGUCGAACGGAAAGGCCCUGCUUUUGUUGGUUUCUCGAUUGGCGAGCGGGGGAGUGACACGUGAGUAACCUGCCCUUGACUUUGUGAUAACUUCUGGAAACUGGGGCUAAUAUCGUAUAUGAUCUCCUGCUGCAUGGUGGGGAUUAGAAAAUUUCGGCGUUUGUGGAUCGACUCGCGGCUUAUCAGCUUCUUGGUGGGGUAGUGACUUACCAAGUCUUUGACGGGUAGCCGGCCUGAGAGGGUGAACGGGCACCUUGGGCCUGAGAUACGGACCAGAAUGCUACGGGAGGCAGCAGUGGGGAAUAUUGCACAAUGGGCGGAAGCCUGAUACAGCAACGUCGCGUGCGGGAUGCCGGCCUUCGGGUUGUAAACAGAUUUCGACUGUGACGAAGAGUGAGUGACGGUACCGGGUAAAGAAGCAACGGCUAACUACGUG
This 468-nucleotide ribosomal RNA is filed under the name uncultured bacterium. RNAcentral's name for it is "partial 16S ribosomal RNA". It matches the Rfam family "Bacterial small subunit ribosomal RNA", at positions 28 to 507 of the family's 1533-position model. The record is from RNAcentral.